Molecule: long non-coding RNA, 897 nt
Filed under: Chinchilla lanigera (long-tailed chinchilla)
Lineage: Eukaryota; Metazoa; Chordata; Mammalia; Rodentia; Chinchillidae
Description: lncRNA (ENSCLAG00000028597.1)
Source: RNAcentral
CUCUGGAGCCCAUGGUCCUGGGGGUCAAGAUUCUGGAGCCCGCAUUCUUCUGACGGGGAUCCAAGGAGGUUCUGUCUGGUUCCAUGUGAACCAGUGGCCUGGAAAAGAUCUAGGAGCCAAGCUGGAGGAGACCACGUGGGGCUUUGCCUCUGAGUCAGAGUACACAGUGAUGCUGAGAGUCCAGAGAGGGACAAGUGCUCCAUUCUGCUCCAACCUCAUGGACAGGUACAAAGCAAGGGUCCAAGUGCCAAAUGUGACAUCCCUGAAGAUUGAGAACCGGACUCCACAGGACAGUGGGAGAUACAAGGCAUGCUCCUGGUUAACUGAUGCAACAGAAGUUCUCCAAAUUUCCCACCUCAAGGUCUAUCGAGAAGCUCCCACAGCUGACCUCAUUGGAGGCAUCUUCAGGGGAAUCACAGCGGUGCUGUUCUUCCUGGGAGCUGGACUGUGCCUGUGGAGAAUUCGAGACAAAAAGAAGAUGGUGGAAGCGGAAGUGGCAGGUUGCACUUCUCCUUAUGGGCAAUGACCUCCUCUCUCCCAGUGCACCCUGGGCUUUUCCCUCCUGCACUUUGCUACCAGGAAGUGGGUCCUGCAGAGGGGGCACUGUAUGUGACCAUGAUGGCUUUGGGUUCACGGAGGUGGGGGAACGUUACGGGUUCCUAGGCACAGAAUAGAGCUCCACUCUGUCAAUGACUCAGGCGCAGGACCCCUGGGGGACCACAAGGUCGAUGACAGUGGCACCUACUAUGUGCCAGUGAUGGACCAGGCAUCUCAUGAGGGUAAGGACAAGGUGAGGCCUGGGGCAGUAGCCAGACUGACCACUCACAGGAGUCACUGCUGGCUAUGUGCUCCCCAGACUGAAAAAAUAGCUCUUUCUGUUUCCAGGGUUCUUUAACU